GUGUCAGCAGCCGCGGUAAUACGGAGGAUGCGAGCGUUAUCCGGAUUUAUUGGGUUUAAAGGGUGCGUAGGCGGAUUGAUAAGUCAGUGGUGAAAUCCUGCAGCUUAACUGUAGCAUUGCCGUUGAUACUGUCAGUCUUGAGUAUGGUUAAGGUAGGCGGAAUGUGUAAUGUAGCGGUGAAAUGCUUAGAUAUUACACAGAACACCGAUUGCGAAGGCAGCUUACUGAACCAAAACUGACGCUGAGGCACGAAAGCGUGGGGAGCGAACAGGAUUAGAAACCCCUGUAGUCC
RNAcentral lists this ribosomal RNA (292 nucleotides) under uncultured bacterium. RNAcentral describes it as "partial 16S ribosomal RNA". It matches the Rfam family "Bacterial small subunit ribosomal RNA", at positions 505 to 796 of the family's 1533-position model. The record is from RNAcentral.